GACGAACGCUGGCGGCAUGCCUAAUACAUGCAAGUCGAACGCGGCCAUCCGGUGCUUGCACUGGUGAAGCCGAGUGGCGAACGGGUGAGUAACACGUGAGAAACCUGCCCUGGAGUGGGGAAUAACUCGAAGAAAUUCGAGCUAAUACCGCAUACCUUCUCUUCACCGCAUGGUGAGUUGAAGAAAGAUUUAUCGCUCUAGGAGGGUCUCGCGGCCUAUCAGCUAGUUGGUGAGGUAAUGGCUCACCAAGGCAUCGACGGGUAGCUGGUCUGAGAGGACGAUCAGCCACACUGGGACUGAGACACGGCCCAGACUCCUACGGGAGGCAGCAGUAGGGAAUCUUGCGCAAUGGGCGAAAGCCUGACGCAGCAAUGCCGCGUGCGGGACGAAGGCCUAGGGUCGUAAACCGCUUUCAGUAGGGACGAAAAUGACGGUACCUGCAGAAGAAGCUCCGGCCAACUACGUGCCAGCAGCCGCGGU
This 480-nucleotide ribosomal RNA is filed under the name uncultured bacterium. RNAcentral describes it as "bacterial SSU rRNA". It matches the Rfam family "Bacterial small subunit ribosomal RNA", at positions 28 to 521 of the family's 1533-position model. The record is from RNAcentral.